RNAcentral lists this ribosomal RNA (957 nucleotides) under Odoiporus longicollis (banana stem weevil). RNAcentral describes it as "eukaryotic LSU rRNA". The stretch from base 574 to 957 matches the Rfam family "Eukaryotic large subunit ribosomal RNA", at positions 1 to 366 of the family's 3401-position model. Lineage: Eukaryota; Metazoa; Arthropoda; Insecta; Coleoptera; Curculionidae. The record is from RNAcentral.
CAUGAACAUCGACAUUUCGAACGCACAUUGCGGUCCUGGGAUUCCAUUCCCGGACCACUCCUGGCUGAGGGUCGUAUCUAUUUAAAAGACUGCUCGGUUUUCGAUCGUCAUCAUCGUCGUCGUCGUCGUCUUUUCGACGAGGAGACUGGUGGUGAUUGGUCGAUUACGUCGGAGCGUGUUGGAUGUACGACGCGAAAGAAAGAGGAGAGGAGGGUGGGUGGUGGCGAAUUUACUUCUCCUCCUCCUUCUCUUUCUCUCUCUCUCUCAUUCGCGACAUCUCAAAACGUGAAUACACGUUCACGUUCAUAUUACGUUUAUCGAAAUGUGAACGUGUAGAGUGUAACCGCGAUUCGAGCGGGGCUUUAUUAAAUACGUCGUCGCCUAUGUAUUAUACUAUAGUCGUCAAUACGUGUUUAUCGUAUAGUCUUGGAGCGCGCGCGCUCGUGCCGGUCGACGUGUCCGAUAUUAUUCUUUUUGUAAUAUAAAGGAAAUCGACGUCUGAACCGGCAAUAAUGAUGCCGUCGCCAACGAUCGACACGCGUUAUAGAUUUAUAUCUAUAUAUUUCUAUCUAUCGACCUCAGAGCAGGUGAGACUACCCGCUGAAUUUAAGCAUAUUACUAAGCGGAGGAAAAGAAACUAACUAGGAUUCCCUCAGUAGCUGCGAGCGAACAGGGAAGAGCCCAGCACCGAAUCCCGCGGCCGACAUCGGGCGCCGGGAAAUGUGGUGUUCGGGAGGGUCCGUUAUCUCGAUGUCAUGCGACGCGUCCAAGUCCUUCUUGAACGGGGCCCCAACCCAUAGAGGGUGCCAGGCCCGUAGUGACCGUUGCUGAUGGCGGGAGGAUCUCUCCUUAGAGUCGGGUUGCUUGAGAGUGCAGCCCUAAGUGGGUGGUAAACUCCAUCUAAGGCUAAAUAUAACCACGAGACCGAUAGCGAACAAGUACCGUGAGGGAAAGUUG